Molecule: long non-coding RNA, 1974 nt
Organism: Cynara cardunculus var. scolymus (artichoke)
Lineage: Eukaryota; Viridiplantae; Streptophyta; Magnoliopsida; Asterales; Asteraceae
Exons: 4
Source: RefSeq, a predicted model, not a curated record
UGAGCGAUUUAGACAGCUUGAACCUGCUUGAGCGUCUUGACCGAAUUCGGACACUAGAGAAGCUAGGCUUGAACGAAUUCGGAUACUAAGGUAGCAUGACUUGAGCGUAUUCGGUCAAUAAGGAAGAUAGACUUGAGCGUUUUCGAUCAAUAAGAAAGAUAGACUUGAGCGAUUUCGGUCACAUGAUGAGCGAUUUAUCUCUUUAAGGUGAGCGAUUUAGAUCAAUGCUUUGAGCGGAUAUUGAGCGAUUAAAACCAUAAGGUGAGCGAUUUAUUUUUGUGAGGUGAGCGAUUUAGGACAUCAAUUGAUUGGAUUUUGACCGGAUUUUUUUAAUCAAACAAAGCUUAGUCGUUUUUGCUUGGUAAUCGAUUACAGUGUGUAUAUCGUUCACUGUAUACCUUUCGAACAUGAGAUUUUAAUCGUACAUUCAUCGCAUAGCUCUUUUCUCACAGCCUGUUUGAUUGAAGACAGCUUGUGCGAAAUUUGGUCACUAGGGGAAUUCAGCAUGAGCGAAUUAUCUCUUUAAGGUGAGCGAUUUCAGAUUUAGCGAUUUAGAGAAGUCUGAUUUGAGCGAAAUUUGGUCACUAGAGGAAUUCAGCUUGAGCGAAUUCGUACAUACAGGUUUCAAGGUUGCUUCUGUUAAAUCGAUUUUAAUUUGUUUCAAAGGGUCUGGUAAAUCGCCUGUUUUGUUUUGGGUUCAUCGCACAUUUAUUGCACAUCAUCUGUUUUUCAAGGUAUUCACAGGUGAUUUGUUUUGCGGGCUUUUGACUGUGUUUGUGGUUAACAUUACAGUAGCUUACAUUACAGUAGCUAUUGAUUUCUCAUUAUUUGCACUUGAGCUGCAUUCAAGUUUUGUGAAGGAUCCAGAGUGCAACUAUUACUGUUUUUAUCUUCUAUUACUGUUGGUAAUUUCAUUGCUUGGCAUUUCGCAUAGUUUGUAAAUUGGGUUUUUGCCUUUCAUAGCUCAAAAGUCUGUUGUUUUAAAUUGUACCUGGCUGUUAUUUGAGAUUUUGAAAAGAGAAAUAAAUGUAUAUCAGCUUCAGUGGUAUGGCUACUGCUUGUUCAUAAACAGGAAGUUUUUGAUUUAAUGUAAAUCUGUUUGAGAGACUACUGGGUUCUUGAUUUUGAUGCUGCAAUGCUAGUAGGCAGCCUCCUGUAGAUACUACUUGACAGCAGAUCUAUUUCUGCUUGAGAAUUGAGUGAUAUCCUUGAUAGUAGCAAUCUGUAUUAGAGGGUGGCAGAACUGAGUGAUAUCCUUGAUAGUAGCAAUCUGUCCUUGCUGCUGCUGCUGGUGUUGGUGAUCAACAUUUCCAGUAUUAUGGUGCAUGGUAUGGCUCUGUUCCUGGUUUGAAAGUGCUUGUACCUUCCUCUGUUAUUGUAGAUCUUAGAUGAUGAUGCAGAAUUAGCUGUUACAAGGCUCAAGACCUGUUUGGUUGACCAAAGGCACAGGAUGGUUAAGAAUCUGACAGUUGAUACGGAUAGUUGAAACUCAUCCAUUUUUGGUGUGAUUCUGUUAUUAAAGGACUUAUUUGACUGUUGUCUAUCAUCUCCAUUAUUUUUAGACUGAGCAAGCACAAAAGUUCUAUAGCGUUGAAGAGAGUGAAGUGAAACAAUUUUAGUUGUUUCUGGUUGAAUAAAGACAACCGAAUUGUUUCAUUGAUACGAGAAUUAGAAGAGGAGUGAGCUGCUCGAUCUGCAUUUUUGUUCAACAGAUCAUCUCACCUGUUUACAAUUUCAGCAGAUUGGUCAGGCUAAGAAGACUGUUGGUGGAGUUUUGACUCUGCUUCAUCUCAAGAAUAUAAAAAAAUUAUGUUUCGUGAAGUAUUGAGUUUACUUUAUGGACAUGAGCUGUUUUGUUUUUCCUGGGACAAACCUUUAUCUGUAUUCUAGUUCAUCUAUGUCUUAUCGAUAAAUCUGUUAUCUGUAGUUCUCUGUGUUUAAGACUUUGAAUCGUUGAAGUGUAAAUCAAAGGUU